UUGCACGCUGGCGGCAGGCCUAACACAUGCAAGUCGAGCGGAUGAAGGGAGCUUGCUCCUGGAUUCAGCGGCGGACGGGUGAGUAAUGCCUAGGAAUCUGCCUGGUAGUGGGGGAUAACGUCCGGAAACGGGCGCUAAUACCGCAUACGUCCUGAGGGAGAAAGUGGGGGAUCUUCGGACCUCACGCUAUCAGAUGAGCCUAGGUCGGAUUAGCUAGCUGGUGGGGUAAAGGCCUACCAAGGCGACGAUCCGUAACUGGUCUGAGAGGAUGAUCAGUCACACUGGAACUGAGACACGGUCCAGACUCCUACGGGAGGCAGCAGUGGGGAAUAUUGGACAAUGGGCGAAAGCCUGAUCCAGCCAUGCCGCGUGUGUGAAGAAGGUCUUCGGAUUGUAAAGCACUUUAAGUUGGGAGGAAGGGCAGUAAGUUAAUACCUUGCUGUUUUGACAUUACCAACAGAAUAAGCACCGGCUAACUUCGUG
This 483-nucleotide ribosomal RNA is filed under the name uncultured bacterium. RNAcentral describes it as "partial 16S ribosomal RNA". It matches the Rfam family "Bacterial small subunit ribosomal RNA", at positions 30 to 507 of the family's 1533-position model. The record is from RNAcentral.